This 639-nucleotide long non-coding RNA is filed under the name Phasianus colchicus (ring-necked pheasant). RNAcentral's name for it is "lncRNA (ENSPCLG00000017482.1)". Lineage: Eukaryota; Metazoa; Chordata; Aves; Galliformes; Phasianidae. The record is from RNAcentral.
GAGAAGGCUCACUAUGACUAAUCCUCGGGCAUUUGUCAAGCCCAAGCUUCCCAUGGGAGGAGAUUUUUACUAAGCACUGUAGCGGUUAGAGCAAACUAGGACAUUUGAUGUAUUUCCACAUGGAUAACAGCAUUACAUGACAAUUGAGUAAACUUACAUUAUCUGUUAAUUGACAGCGUAGGUCUGCCUGGCUCAAGGGGAAGAGACAACUGUGUGAAAGCUGAGGGAGAAAAGAUGAUCUGGAGAUCGCCGUGCUAUUUUAUUUGUUAUAGAAACACAGAACUGUGUACUGAAAACAGAGAGUUACCAUGUGCAAAUAUUUCUCUAUAAGAUUUCUGGAUCAUGGUCUCAUGGCAGCAAAUAUGUCCUUGAUAUGGAGGUAUCCAGGAAGAGUAUUAGGCUUGACCCCCAACAUGGAGCAGAAGUAAUGGAUCUAGUGUUGAGAGGAUGGUGUACAUCACACAGCAGCAGCCUCAGACCAGUGGGUCAAGAGGAGUUCAUUGAGAACUGGUGGUAUUUACAAAGAAUGUUGGCAUGGACGUUGAGAACUGUACAACUCAGAGCUCAGGCACCAUGGGUAAAGAAACCUCCUUUUGUUGGGAUAGUUCAGCAUGUGCAGCAGUGGCAGAGAAGUGAUCC